CCUACGGGUGGCAGCAGUGAGGAAUAUUGGUCAAUGGGCGCGAGCCUGAACCAGCCAAGUCGCGUGAGGGAGGACGGCCCUACGGGUUGUAAACCUCUUUUGCCGGGGAGUAACGGGCGCCACGUGUGGCGUCACUGAGAGUACCCGGAGAAAAAGCAUCGGCUAACCCCGUGCCAGCAGCCGCGGUAAUACGGAGGAUGAGAGCGUUAUCCGGAUUUUUUGGUUUUAAGGGGUGCGUAGGCGGAUCGUUAAGUCAGUGGACAAAUGGAGGGGCUCAACCCCUUCCCGCCAUUGAAACUGGCGUGCUUGAGUGGAAGAGAAGUAUGCGGAAUGCGUGGUGUAGCGGUGAAAUGCAUAGAUAUCACGCAGAACCCCGAUUGCGAAGGCAGCAUGCCGGCUUCCGACUGACGCUGAAGCACGAAAGCGUGGGGAUCGAACAGGAUUAGAUACCCCAGUAGUC
RNAcentral lists this ribosomal RNA (460 nucleotides) under uncultured bacterium. RNAcentral's name for it is "partial 16S ribosomal RNA". It matches the Rfam family "Bacterial small subunit ribosomal RNA", at positions 338 to 795 of the family's 1533-position model. The record is from RNAcentral.